This 1373-nucleotide ribosomal RNA is filed under the name uncultured bacterium. RNAcentral's name for it is "bacterial SSU rRNA". It matches the Rfam family "Bacterial small subunit ribosomal RNA", at positions 28 to 1381 of the family's 1533-position model. The record is from RNAcentral.
GAUGAACGCUGGCGGCGUGCCUAAUACAUGCAAGUCGAGCGAACGGACGAGAAGCUUGCUUCUCUGAUGUUAGCGGCGGACGGGUGAGUAACACGUGGAUAACCUACCUAUAAGACUGGGAUAACUUCGGGAAACCGGAGCUAAUACCGGAUAAUAUUUUGAACCGCAUGGUUCAAAAGUGAAAGACGGUCUUGCUGUCACUUAUAGAUGGAUCCGCGCUGCAUUAGCUAGUUGGUAAGGUAACGGCUUACCAAGGCAACGAUGCAUAGCCGACCUGAGAGGGUGAUCGGCCACACUGGAACUGAGACACGGUCCAGACUCCUACGGGAGGCAGCAGUAGGGAAUCUUACGCAAUGGGCGAAAGCCUGACGGAGCAACGCCGCGUGAGUGAUGAAGGUCUUCGGAUCGUAAAACUCUGUUAUUAGGGAAGAACAUAUGUGUAAGUAACUGUGCACAUCUUGACGGUACCUAAUCAGAAAGCCACGGCUAACUACGUGCCAGCAGCCGCGGUAAUACGUAGGUGGCAAGCGUUAUCCGGAAUUAUUGGGCGUAAAGCGCGCGUAGGCGGUUUUUUAAGUCUGAUGUGAAAGCCCACGGCUCAACCGUGGAGGGUCAUUGGAAACUGGAAAACUUGAGUGCAGAAGAGGAAAGUGGAAUUCCAUGUGUAGCGGUGAAAAUGCGCAGAGAUAUGGAGGAACACCAGUGGCGAAGGCGACUUUCUGGUCUGUAACUGACGCUGAUGUGCGAAAGCGUGGGGAUCAAACAGGAUUAGAUACCCUGGUAGUCCACGCCGUAAACGAUGAGUGCUAAGUGUUAGGGGGUUUCCGCCCCUUAGUGCUGCAGCUAACGCAUUAAGCACUCCGCCUGGGGAGUACGACCGCAAGGUUGAAACUCAAAGGAAUUGACGGGGACCCGCACAAGCGGUGGGGCAUGUGGUUUAAUUCGAAGCAACGCGAAGAACCUUACCAAAUCUUGACAUCCUUUGACAACUCUAGAGAUAGAGCCUUCCCCUUCGGGGGACAAAGUGACAGGUGGUGCAUGGUUGUCGUCAGCUCGUGUCGUGAGAUGUUGGGUUAAGUCCCGCAACGAGCGCAACCCUUAAGCUUAGUUGCCAUCAUUAAGUUGGGCACUCUAAGUUGACUGCCGGUGACAAACCGGAGGAAGGUGGGGAUGACGUCAAAUCAUCAUGCCCCUUAUGAUUUGGGCUACACACGUGCUACAAUGGACAAUACAAAGGGCAGCGAAACCGCGAGGUCAAGCAAAUCCCAUAAAGUUGUUCUCAGUUCGGAUUGUAGUCUGCAACUCGACUACAUGAAGCUGGAAUCGCUAGUAAUCGUAGAUCAGCACGCUACGGUGAAUACGUUCCCGGGUCU